This 469-nucleotide long non-coding RNA is filed under the name Mytilus galloprovincialis (Mediterranean mussel). The record is from RNAcentral. Lineage: Eukaryota; Metazoa; Mollusca; Bivalvia; Mytilida; Mytilidae.
GUUCUUAUCCCAAGCAUAAAAACUUAGCCGUAUUUGACACAACCUUUUUCAACUUUUGAUCUUCAGUGCUGUACAACUUUGUACUUUUUUUCGCUUUUCGAUCUUUUAUAUAUCUGGGCGUCACUGGUGAGUCUUGUGUGGACGAGGCGCGUUUUUGGCGUAUUAAAUUUUAAACCUGAUGCUUUUUGUUAUUCAUUAAUCAUGUGUUUCUUUGUCUAAUACGUUUUCCUAUGUAUUUGUAUUGUAGUCCUGUAAUAUUAUGUUGUCACUUCUAUGUUAUAUUUAACAUUGCCAUUAAAGUGCGAGGUUUGGCAUGCCACAAAACCAGGUUCAACCCACCAUUUUUUUCCUUUAAAAAUGUCCUGUACCAAGUCAGGAAUAUGGCCAUUGUUAUAUUAUAGUUCGUUUCUGUGUGUGUUACAAUUUAACGUUGCGUCGUUUGUUUUCUCUUAUUUUUGAGUGUAAAUUG